Molecule: ribosomal RNA, 516 nt
Filed under: uncultured bacterium
Lineage: Bacteria
Description: bacterial SSU rRNA
Rfam family: Bacterial small subunit ribosomal RNA
Source: RNAcentral
UCAGAACGAACGCUGGCGGCGUGCUUAACACAUGCAAGUCGAACGCGAACGGGACUUCGGUCCCUAGUAGAGUGGCGCACGGGUGAGUAACGCGUAGAUAACCUAUCUUCCUGUCUGGAAUAAUAACGCCGAAAGGAGUACUAAUACCGGAUACUCUUGCUUUUCAUAAGUAUAGCAAGCAAAGGUGGCCUCUGUAUAUGCUACUGCAGGGAGAGGGGUCUGCGUACCAUUAGCUAGUAGGUGGGGUAAGGGCCUACCUAGGCUACGAUGGUUAGCGGGUCUGAGAGGAUGAUCCGCCACACUGGCACUGGAACACGGGCCAGACUCCUACGGGAGGCAGCAGUGAGGAAUAUUGCGCAAUGGGGGCAACCCUGACGCAGCGACGCCGCGUGAAGUGAGGAAGGCCUUCGGGUCGUAAAGCUCUGUCAAGAGGAAAGAAGUGCAUAGCGGUUAAUACCCGUUAUGUUUGACGGUACCUCUAAAGGAAGCACCGGCUAACUCCGUGCCAGCCGCCGC